Molecule: ribosomal RNA, 254 nt
Filed under: uncultured bacterium
Lineage: Bacteria
Description: partial 16S ribosomal RNA
Rfam family: Bacterial small subunit ribosomal RNA
Source: RNAcentral
UACGUAGGGGGCUAGCGUUGUUCGGAAUUACUGGGCGUAAAGGGCGCGUAGGCGGCGCGAUAAGUUGGGCGUGAAAGGCCCGGGCUCAACCCGGGGACUGCGCUUGAUACUGUCGCGCUGUGAGUCCGGGAGAGGAUGGCGGAAUUCCCAGUGUAGAGGUGAAAUUCGUAGAUAUUGGGAAGAACACCGGUGGCGAAGGCGGCCAUCUGGACCGGCACUGACGCUGAGGCGCGAAAGCGUGGGGAGCAAACAGG